This 465-nucleotide ribosomal RNA is filed under the name Vreelandella stevensii. RNAcentral describes it as "partial 16S ribosomal RNA". It matches the Rfam family "Bacterial small subunit ribosomal RNA", at positions 338 to 795 of the family's 1533-position model. Lineage: Bacteria; Pseudomonadati; Pseudomonadota; Gammaproteobacteria; Oceanospirillales; Halomonadaceae. The record is from RNAcentral.
CCUACGGGGUGCAGCAGUGGGGAAUAUUGGACAAUGGGCGAAAGCCUGAUCCAGCCAUGCCGCGUGUGUGAAGAAGGCCUUCGGGUUGUAAAGCACUUUCAGUGGGGAAGAAAGCCUUGGGGCUAAUACCCUCGAGGAAGGACAUCACCCACAGAAGAAGCACCGGCUAACUCCGUGCCAGCAGCCGCGGUAAUACGGAGGGUGCGAGCGUUAAUCGGAAUUACUGGGCGUAAAGCGCGCGUAGGCGGUCUGAUAAGCCGGUUGUGAAAGCCCCGGGCUCAACCUGGGAACGGCAUCCGGAACUGUCAGGCUAGAGUGCAGGAGAGGAGGGUAGAAUUCCCGGUGUAGCAGUGAAAUGCGUAGAGAUCGGGAGGAAUACCAGUGGCGAAGGCGGCCUUCUGGACUGACACUGACGCUGAGGUGCGAAAGCGUGGGUAGCAAACAGGAUUAGAUACCCUGGUAGUC